UGAGAUGGCGGAACUGAGGAACAAGCAAGUGAUUCUGAACAACUAUGUUGUUGGUUUUCCCAAAGAAUCAGACAUGAGCAUUGUUGAAGGAACCAUAACUUUGAAGGUUCCAGAAGGUUCCUCUGAUCUGCUCCUCAAAAAUCUCUACCUCUCAUGUGAUCCCUACAUGCGAUUCUUCAUGACCAAGGAGGACAACCCUUUGGGAAUUGGCACCUACAAGCUUCACUCUGUAACUCACUCACUCUUUCACCACACAAUCUUCACUAUUUUCUUACUAUUAUUAACUUCAAUCAUAUAUUAUACAUUAAAUUUUAUGAUAUCUAUGUUUUCAUACUUUUUUUUUGUUUUUGUUUAGUUGAUAAGUAAAUCCAUCAUAAGUUUUGAUGCUAAAUUUUUGCACCUUCUGGUUAUGUUCAUGUAAUGGAUUUUUUUGGAAGAAAUAGGUUAAUGCUUAAGUUAAAAGUAGUUUGUAAAGAAUUUAAUAAAGAGAGGUUCUUUAAGAGUAAUUAAUGUUAUAUAAAGGUAGGUGGUAACUGUUGAGUGAUUGCAGGCAUUGAGAGGAGAUGGUGUGUCUCAAGUGGUGGAAUCUGGACAUCCAGAUUAUAAGAAAGGUGAUUUAGUUUAUGCAAGGACUAGAUGGGAAGAGUAUAGUUUGAUCCCUUCAUCUGAGAUAUGUUUGAAAAUUGAGCACACUGAUCUCCCACUUUCCUACUAUAUUGGUGUUCUUGGUAGGUAUAUUCUCAAUAAUUUCAAUUUAUGGUUUAUUCUCAUUUUCGGUUCAUUAUAAAGUGGUAGAAAAUCAAUUUGGUUCUUCAUAUUAAACUUUGAUGGAAUUUUGUUUAAAAUAUUUUAAUUUGGUUCUUUUUAUUAGAUUGUUUUUGGCGUCUUUAAGUAUGAAAUUUCAUAUGAAAUACAUGUACAAUGACAUGAUUAUUAGGGUGAAAUUUGUCCCUUUUAUGUAGUUGUUUAGGUCAUGUUCACCCCUUGUUUUGAGUGUGCCCUUCUCUUCCGCUGAGUUGAGUGGUUUGCUUCACUGCUCAUCAAUAUCUGAGUACUAAUCUUCAUCAUCUUGUAGUUAUAAUGGAUGGGGGUUGCAAAACCAUAUGGUGGUGGAAGUAGGAGUUCCUUCGUUGCAUUCAUUUGCCACUGUGGAUAUUUUUUUGUAUUAAUAAUGUUAGAAAACAAUUUUGGAUAAAUAGAUCCUUAAAAUUUCAUGAAAUAAGUUUUGAUAUGCUCCCACAUGAUGAUAUAAGACAUGAUAAAGGCCCACCACUACUAAGGAUGGAAGAGAGAGAAAAUAGAAAAGUAAUACCAUUUUAUGAAAUUAACCCUGGAAAAUCUUACAAACAAGUUUUAAACAACCAAUUACGUUCUUUAGUUCAAAUAUCAACAAAUAGUAUUAUUACAAUUACAACUCUUUCAAAAAAACAUAUUGUUCAUGUAUGCCAAUAUAGUGCCACAUCGCUCAAGAGUCGAGUCCAAGGACAAUUUAUAUACUCCCUAAACCCAUUGAUGCGCCUUUUCAAGAUAAAACCAUGACGGAGCACCAUCAUAAUUGCUCAAUUACUACUAAGAUACACUAACUGCAAUAGUUUUUCAUGUUGCUCAAUAGUGUGGUUUUUCAUGUUUUAAAAACAAUCUCUCUUUGUAAAUGUAUAGAUUAUUUAUGCCUUAGGGACUAGUUUAUCAUAGGGUCGGAAUCCAAAAACAAUCUCUUUGUAUAUGCAAAAGCAAAGCUUUGUCAAUAACAUUCUCUCAUUCCUUUGAUAGUUUGAAGCCUUUUGACAUUGAUGCUCAUUAUUAUUCAACAAACAUUGUCUUGUUAAAAUGAUCACCUUCCUUGUGCAAUCAAUUUCUUGUAAUGCAUAGUUAGGCUUUUUCAUUAAAGUGGGCAAUCACACCCAUGAAAUUCAUUGUCAUAACAUAAAUGAGUUUCCCAAAAAAACUGAAAAAAGACCCACCAUUGUGGGACAACUUUCCUAGCCAUCUCUUUCCUUUCUUUCACCCUUUUAUGUACCAUGUUAUUUCUAUCCAUUAACUUUUUUAGCCCUUUCUCAAUCUCCCCCGCCAUUACAAGAUCACCACCCCUUUUAUAGUCCAAUCUCAACUUCACUACUAAUCUAAUCUCCAUUACCGUCCUAAAAGUAUUCAAGUGUUGUUCUGCAUAAAUAGGCAUGUCAAUAUUGGUACUCCAAACCACAAGCUUUCCAAAAUAGAGUCCAUCCACAAUGAGACACAAAUUCCCCAAUGGCUUUGUGGCCAUAACCUCCAUUUGAGGUGCCCGAUAACAUAACAUUCCCUUACCUUCUGCCCUCUUUAAAAAUGCUUUUGGUAAGGUUCACUCUUCAUUUUUUGUUAUGGUUGGUGGAGAACACAUAAUCCACAAGGAUAACCCUAAAAUUGUUUUCGAGCAUUCUUAACAAUUGUAAUUGUUCUAAAUACAAAAAAUCUUCACAAUGACAAAUGUACUUGUUCUACUCCCACCACCAUGAGAGGAGUUACAUUAGAUUUGCAACCCUCAUUCAUUACAACUACCAUAUGAUAAAGAAUGGAUAUCCAAACAUUGAUGAGCAGUGAAACAAACUCCUCAACUCAAUAGUAGAGAAAAAGAACAUACUCAAAAUAGGUGAAGAAGGUGACCUGGCAACUAUAUAAAAGGAGCACAUCUCGCCCCAACAAUUCUUCUAUUCUUUAUGUGUUUUAAAUGAAAUUCCAUGUAUCCAACUUUGUCUACAAAAUCAUCAUUGAGUCAUUUUAAACAAAAUUGGCACCACAUUAAACAAAAUAAAAAUUAAGGGACAAAAUUGAUUUUUUGCCACUUAUUUUGGGACCAAAACUGGUAUUAAACCUCAAUUUAUUUUCAUUCUUAGUGAAUGAUGCACUUGAUGUUAGUAUGACCUUCAUUAAUAACAUGAAGCUUUCUUUUCAUAAUUACUCAUUUCUAUUAUCUAAAAUAUCAUUUCCUAUUGUUUUACCUAAGAUUCUAGUAAUGGCCAUGUAAUGUAGCCAUGUCAGAUACUUAUUCAUUUCAAAUUUUGCAUGCACAUUCUGUUUCACCUAAAUAAAUCUUAGUGAGUUUGCAUGCAAGCUUAUGAUAUUGUAAGCUUUUAUAUAACUUUGGUGUGACAUUUGACCCAUGUUAUUUUCUUUUUUGAAUGAUGCUCAACAAGCUUCCAUGCAAGCUUAUGUAUGUUCUUGCAUGAUUUUCUAUAAGUUUGUUAUGCCUUUUAACCUAUAACACUAUAUUAUUUUAUCACAGGUGUGUCAGGAUUGACUGCUUAUGCUGGCUUCUUUGAAGUAGGUUCUCCCCAAAAGGGAGAUAAUGUUUUUGUUUCAGCUGCCUCUGGUGCUAUUGGUCAACUUGUUGGCCAAUUCGCCAAGUUGAACGGUUGCUAUGUUGUUGGAAGUGCAGGAAGCAAAGACAAGGUAUUUAUUUCUUAUUGUUAUGUAUUUGGAUAAAAAUGAAUAAUAAGCUUCAAUGUUAGAAUAUUUAUUCUAUUAUUUAAAAUACCACUCUUUUCAAUUCGCUUGGUUGCAACAAACCAAAACCUUUCUAUGACAUGAAUAUCCUGAUUAUAGAAUACAUUGGAUUUUUUUUUCUUCCAAUUAUAAUUCUUUAGCAAAGUAAACUUUUUAGGUAAGUAACAUACUUUAUGAUUUUCGAAAAUUGUUGUUGGAAUAAAAAUAGAUGAAUUUUGUUUUAUUUAAUGUAGGGAAUAUUAUUUGUUCAGUUUCAAAAUUUUCAUUAUUUUAUAUAUUAUAUAAAUUAGAAAAUAUGUAUUAUUGUAUUUCUAUGUUCGUGUUUGUUUGCAAUGUGUCCAAAACUCCCAAAACUUUCCAUUGCACCAUAUUUUUUUAUGAAUAGUGUUAUAACAGAAAGCAUUAAUAGUGUUUGCUUAUGGUUGUUGUGAAUUUUGAAUGGAAGACUAGAAAUUAGUUUUCCUUUCACUUAUAAGCACGUGUCUUGUAAUUAGGUGGAUCUUUUGAAGAAUAAAUUAGGAUUUGAUGAAGCUUUUAACUAUAAGGAAGAGCCAGACCUCAAUGCAGCUUUGAAAAGGUUAGUACAUAACAUUGUCCCAACAGAGAAAUGUGACUUUAUAUUGUUUAUUUCCAUAAAUAAAAGGUUACAAGUUAUAGUACCUAGUGACACGAGCAAUAUUAAUGAGUAGUGACAAUGGAUAUAAAUUUUGAAAUCAGGUAUUUUCCAGAAGGCAUUGACAUUUACUUUGAGAAUGUUGGGGGCAAGACACUUGAUGCAGUACUUCCAAAUAUGAGACUCCAUGGUCGCAUAGUUGUUUGUGGAAUGAUCUCACAAUACAAUCUUACUCAACCGGAAGGUGUAACAAAUUUGGCACAUCUCAUAUUUAAGAGGGUUAAAAUGGAAGGUUUUCUUAUAAUUGAUUUCUUCCAUUUAUUUCCCAAAUUCUUGGAGUUUGUCGUGCCUCUAAUUAGAGAAGGAAAGGUUGUGUAUGUUGAAGACAUUGUUGAAGGUCUUGAGAAUGGCCCUGCAGCAUUGGUUGGCCUCUUUAGUGGUCGCAAUGUCGGCAAACAAGUGGUGGAUGUUUCUCGGGAGUAAAAUUCUAUAAAUACACUCUUAUUCUCUAAGCUUUAUUUCUAAAUUUUCAACUUUCCAUUGGAUAUUAAAUCUUGUUUUUAUGGUCUAUGUAAUCAAAUUCCGUUAUGCUUAGAAUAAUUACUGUAUGAUGUUAAUUUUCUUUUGAAACAAUUGGCAAAAGGACACCCAAUCUUAACAAGUAGACAUUAUUAAGUAUUUAUCAUUUUUCAAGGACUUGCUUCAAUGUUAGCAUAAUUUAUAUUUAUGAAUAGCUAAUGUGAUGCAAUCCACGAUGAUGGAUUGUAGAAGUUGAAUGCAGUGGCAACGAAAUGGAGAAGAGUUUGCACCGAGAAUGAGAGAUUUUGGUGAGGAAUUGGAAUAGUUUUGGUGUUAGGAAGUAGAAAUAGGUUUGGCCAACUUUCUAGCUAUUACUAGGCCUUUGAGGCUCUCUAGCAAAAGGAGAUUUAGGAGAGAAUGAGCUUCAUUUCAAAAUUCAUUCAGUUAAUUGCAAAUCUCAAUACAUGAGAGUAUUAGGAGUAUUUAUAGAUGAAGGUAGCUUGCUCCUUAAACUACCAUAACUCUAGUUAAGUAAACUUAACUAUGGUGAGUGUGGUGGCUUAAAGGGGUCUGUGUACUCUUCUUCUAGAGUAUCUUUCUUUCAUCUAUAAAAUACUCUAAGGAAAUUUAAAAUACAAAAUCUUAUAUUGGUGGUUCUGCAUCAAGCUCCCUCCCUUCAAAAGGAUGUGUCCUCGGAUCCAGUUUAAAGUGCCACCUUAUGUGAAAUGAAUGACUUUAAGAUCUUUCUGGUUCAUGAAUCUACCUGAAAAAAGACAACAAGCAUAAGGAGAAUGCAAAAGAAUAGAAGUUGAUGGAUGUAGAAACUGAAAACAAGCAAAGUAUGUGGUAUGGUACCUUUAUGGUGGUUCUUAUUUCCUAAGGUAGGAAAAUAAAACACUAAACAAAAUGGAUAAAACUACGUAGAAUAAGAAAAAAAUAUAAUAGGAAGAAGAAUUACCUCGAUUAGGUGAUACAAGUACGUAAUUAAUUUCCUUUGUCGAGGUAACAUGUUCAUUUGAUUUAUGCGAUGUUUUCAUUAUUUGUACCUCAUGAAGUUGCUUCCCGUGUAUUACUAGCAAGGCUUCACAAGGUGUUUGAACCAAAUCUGGUUUAGCUCCAUAUAAAAGGUUUGCAUCAAGUAACUCCUCACAGGAUUGUUUUAAGAAACUUAUAUUCUUUUUUUUAUACAGCCUUAGACAAAGAUUUGUAAAAGAUGAAAAGUUUUUGUAAUGGGUUUUCCACUACUUGUGAGGGUAUAGAGAAACUAACAAUAAACCUAUUGUCUCUAUUAGUGAAAGUAAUUUUAUCAAAACAAUCCUAGUAAAUAAAUAUAUUGUGAAAAUUGCUAGGUUAUUUUAAUAAAACAUCUAAGGUUAUCAAACUCGAGAGUCUAAGUAGACUCGUGGGAGGUCCAUAAACCUGACUCGUAAACCCGACUCGUAGACUCGUAAGAGUAUAUUUUAUAUAAAAAUUUAAUACAAAAAAUAAAUAUUCAUGAUACUAAUUUUACAAUAUUAGAAUUAAUAAAUUCAUUCAUAUAAUAAUUAUCUAACUUCUAGGUGGUGGUGUGGAAUGAAGAUGUACUACCAUUGAUACAAUUUGAACCAGAUCUUACGAGUUGAAUUUGCAGAAACAUAAGAAUAAAAACCAAUUUAUCUUAAUCUUAUUUCAGUCACUCUAAAUAAAUAAAAAAUCAACCUAAAAUAAAAAAUAACUUUAAAAGAAAUCAACCCAAAUAUUCCAUUUUCGAUUUCAGAUUCACCCAACACAACCAACCCUCAAUCAUGAAACCCACAACCCAACCUUGAUCGCGAAAUCAAACUCGCAAACCAAAGGCAACAUGAAAAUUAAGGUAGAACGCGAUAACAGUGGCGACACGGGGGCGACGGUGAGCAAAGAUGAAGGCAACAAUGAGGGAAGGAGAGGCAACAAAAAGGCAAUGUGAUGUGAUUCUUGGACAUGCGAGACGAUGAGGCACAACCGGAUAAUGAUGAGACAACGAUGAGGUGAUGACAAUGAAGCCAAGUGAAACGUGAAUGCAGCAAGUUCAGUUCAGGUUGGAACGAACCCUAAAAACCUUGACACUAAGCAAAAGUGGGUCAUUUUGGGCAUUUCUUUAUAACUCGUUUACUCGGUCUCCAACUCACGAGUUUGAUCGAGUCUAGUCUGGGUUUACUCAAAGACCAGUCUACUCACGAGUUCACUCGUGACCCAUCAGUAGACUCUUAAACUCAUAAGGGUUUACAAGUUAACCCUAGAGUUUGAUAACCUUGAAACAUCACAAGCUUCUAUAGGAAUAAUGUGACUUAAAACAUUUGUAUCAUAAUGUCCUAAAGAAGGCUUGACUUUCAUGCAUUGAAUUACAACUAAAUCCCAUCAUUUUGAAUCAAAAGAUGGUUAUAAGAUGGAAAAAGGGGUAUUUAUGUUGUAUUUCAACAUUUGAAUAGACAAAGAUAUUUGAAUCAAGAAAAGAGUCAUUGGAAAUACUAGUAUUAGACUCCUUUCCUUUGGGCUCAAUAUUAAUCAACUCUUUAGAAAAUUUCUUUAUCCUAUCUUUCUUUUCUAUUGCUUCUCUUUCUAUCUUUACUUUUUCCUCUCUUUCUCUCUUUUCUUUUUCCUCUCUUUCUUUCUCCUCACUUUCUUUUUCUAUUUUUGCUAUCUCUUCUAAUUUCUCCUUUUCUCUCUCUUUUCAUUUUCAAUGAAUUUCUGUAAAACAAUUUGAUCUUCUUUGACUUAAGUAGGAGUGAGAGGACAAAGGGUAAUCCUUUUCCCUACAUGACGAAAACUAAUUUUAUUUGAUUUUCUAUCAUGAAUAGCUUUAUGAUUAGAGAGCCAUGGGUGGCUAAGUAAAUGAUGUCCAACAUCCAUUGGAAUAAUAUCACAAAAAAUGGUUUUUUGAUAAACUCUAAGGUUAUUAGAUUACUUACUUGGUUACUCACAAUAAUACCACCAUCCUCAUUAAUCCAAUGUAACUUAUAAGGUUUUGGGUGAGGUAUGGUAAGAAGAUUUAGCUUGAGUACCACUCUUGCACUACAAUAGUUAGAAUAUGACUCAUUAUCCACAACUAAAGUACAUAUUUCAUCAAAAACUUUGCAUCUUGUGUGGAAUAGAUUUUCCUGUUGUGACUAUUCCAGAUCAUUAGAAUGGCUAUCAAGUAGUUUUCUCACCAUUAAGCAUUUUUCGUGAGAAAAAGAAUAUUUUUUAAUGAAAGGAUGAGGAAUAGAAAGAGUUUUUAAACUUUUUGCUGGAUAUGUAGAAACAUGAGGAUGAACAAAAGAAAUUUUCUUUUUGUUAGUAGUAUGGAUUAUGCUAUGAUCAUCCAUUAUUGAAAAGCAAAUGUUUUCAUAAAUAUUUAAAAAAAAAAUUCAAGUUGAGUGAUAAAAGAAAUUUCAAUAAGAUGUUUUAGUUUUGUGAAGUAAAUCAAGGAUUCAAGUGUAAGUUUUCUCCAAGUUCACUCCUAGGAAAGUGAGGUGAGUCACAAUGGACUUCUUAAGUACCAAGACUUUCCUAGCCUGAGUUUACCCAAGAUGGUUCAAAAUAUUAGUUUCCUCAAAGAACUUCAAAACCAUUUUAGAAACAGUAAUGAGUAUGGGAAUGCAAGAAUGAUCUUAAAACCAAAAGAAAGGCAACACAAGCAAAAAUACCUAAGAAAAGCUCUAUAAAAGAUUAAAAAAAAAUAAGCGGACUGGUAGGGACUGUUUAAGAAAUUUAUAUGUAUAUUUACACAAAGCUUUUGAAUCUGAAAUUUUUAUUAUAUAUUCUGAGCUCAAAAAGGAACAAAAUGCCACAAAUUUGAGGGCAAACAAUAUGUAUACACUGGGAAACAAAUCAACCAAACUUCUAAAAACGCAAACAGUUUGGCAGCAAAGGAGAAAUUGGUUUCAAAACUGGAAGAUUGAAUUGUAAAAUUUAUGGUAAUUUUUCUACGACGAAUUUGAAGCUGAAAUUUUAACCAGUUCAAGGUAUCUUAUGAAACAAGAUAUGGUAAAAAUUUUAGGCUAAAACACCAUGUGCAAAAAAUUUAAAACCGAGAGGAAAAACUGACACUGAAACAGUUUGGCAAAUAGAAAAAAACGUCCUGGCUUUUGGAAUUUAUAACUUUUUUUGUAGGUGAGAUUAGGACAUGCUUUUUUAUUGCGUGUGGUAAACAUGUUAAGGUAUUUACAAAAAAAUUCCACACUAUUUGGAUGCGAAAUGAGGUCAAGAUAAUUUUUCAAAACUAAGUGUAAAUCAUACAAUUCUGCAAACUGAACAGAAACCUAAAGAAGAUAUAUCUGUAUGUAUUAGUAUAAUGUAUUUACAUACAGAAAAAUAUGUAUAUAGUUAUGUAUGGAAUUACAUACAAAUUUUGUAUGAAAUUACAUACGAAUUUUAAAAUUUGUAUGUAACAGUUACCUACGACAAUUUUACAUACAAAAUUUUGUCCGUAUAUAAUCUAUAUGCAAUUAUGUUUACAUACAGAUUUUGUCUAUUACAUACAAAUUUUUUAUGUAUUUAAUACCGAUUUUUUUUUUGUAGUGCAUGUUAAAUCUCUCUAAUACAUUUUCAUUAUAUUUUUGUUGUGAGAACCAUAAUUUUUCAUUUUUAUUGUCAUGAACAAUUUAAAAGCCACAAAUUUGUUUUUCCAGGACCCAAAUCUUUUAUUACAAAAGACUUGUUUAGCUUCCUUUUGAGACUUUGAAUCUCGCUCAUGUCAUGACCAACAAUGAACAAAGAAUAAGAAAAUAAUAAAAUUUCCAUUAGAAGUGUUUUUCACAAGAACGCAAUGACCAUAAGAGAUUUUAUCAUACCUGGCCCAUUAUGAAGAAAUCAAAUUUUCUAUACCACUAUAUUGGAGCAUGUUCGAGUUCAUGUUGUUCCAUAUAAAUCUCUUCCUCCAAGUCACCCUGAAAGGAAUAUCCUUUUCAAUUAAACAAUUCAAAGGUAUAAGGUUUCAUAGGUGUUUCACAACCAUAACCUAGGAAGAAAAAUUAUUUGACUCAUGACUAAUGAAUUAUGGGUAAUCCAUAUAAGAAACUACAAUACUACCUCAUACUGAAAAUCUUAAGAUAAUAAAUUUGUGGAUGUACCGUUCGGUAUCGAACGAGUCCGUCGCUCGGUCUCAGUGACUGACUGACCAUGCCAAAAUACAUUUAAGACACAAUAAAUGACAGUAAUGAUAAAUAUAGAAUUCCUUAAGAAUCAUGGUCACAUCCCACCAAAUUCGGGAGGCACCCCCGAGAAAUCAGUCAACACUGAGUAAGUGGAAGACAUUGAUUUAUAGCAAAUAUUCUUUAAAUAUACCAACAUACCUUCCUAUAUAUCAGGGAUCGUGAUAGAAAUCAAUCAACACUAAUUUGGUCCAAUAAAGCAAAGGCUCAUGACUAACACUAUAAAUAAACCCUCCACAGAGGUGUAAGGGACGCUUUAAUUAGUUUUCCCUAUACACUCUUAAUACAUAGUACUUACUUGAUUGUAGAAGUACUUUUUUCAAGUCAACCACGACCGAGCAUCAACAAAUAAGGGAUGAGAUUUAUUACAAUAUGUCAUAAAUUUAUAGAUGGAAAAAAAUAUUGUAUACGAAGAGAGAGAGGAAAUUUAGAGAAAAAGUUAGCUUCUCUUCCAAGGAAAUAAGAAUCUUCUUCCCUAGAAACUCAAAAGGAGGUACCUCAAAUUAUAGAUACACUAAUAAUAGAAAACUCCUACAAAUCAAGGAAAUGAUAAGCGAGAAAUAGAGAUAUCUUCUAAAAAGUUGAUUAAAUUGAGCCAAAAGGAAAGGAGUCUUGUACUAGCAUUGUUCAUAUUAUUUCCAAUGACUUUUUCCUUGAUUUAAACAUUUUGUUUAAAAAUAUUAAUCAACUUAAAACUCUCCAUAGAGAAAAUUAUCUUCAUCAUACUUGUCAAAAUUUUCAAAAGUUUUCUCUUAUGGCUAGUGUACUGGUAGCCUAAAACCGAGAGGUAUAGGCCGAGAACUACAUGUCCAAUAAUCAAAGUAAUAAAUUAAAACCGAAAGGUCUGGAUCGAAACCUAAAAGGAUAAUAAAAAUCAUAAUAAAGCCCAAUUUAAAUAAGGAACUUGCACAAGGGGGUGUAAAAGUAAUAAAAAAGGUGUGAGAAGAAAGUCCAAAAGUACUGUAGAAGGCCCAUCAACGAAACCCUAUAAAUAGGAGGUCAGCACAAGAAAAAGGUAAGAGUGAUUUUAUCUGAAAAACCAUUACAUUGUUUCUGACUUUGGCAUCGGAGCGACUUGCAGGUACAUCCCCCCACCUGUGAGGAAUACCAACCGAAAGGAGUAGCCGAGAGGUGCAGCCGAGAGGUGCAGCCGAGAGGAGCAGCCGAGAUGAAUAGCCGAGAGAAGUAGCCAAGAGGAGCAACCGCGAGUCCAGCCCAGUUGAGGAUCCAGCCCAAUAGGAAACCGAAAGUAUAGCCCGUAAUCAAAAGAUUUGUGAAAAAGGCCAUCUUGUUUCAGUUCGAGUGUUCUUGGUCCCUUUUUGUAAGAACAUUUUGGCGCCCACCGUGGGGCCGAGAACUAGUUAGAAAGAAAGGUAGAAGACAAGAUGGAUCAGAGAGAAGGACAGGAUGGAGAGCAAGUAGAUAAUGUCAGUAUGCCAAUGACAAUGCUGGUGCAGCUGCAGAAAGAGUUCGAGACGUUAAAAAAGAGUAAUGAAGAAGAGCUGAGUAUGUUAAGAGCCGAAAAUGCACGCAUGAGGAGAAAACUACAAGAGGAAACAGUUUUGAAUGCAUCAUUUGAAACUGUUCAGCCAAGAGCUCAAGUCAAUGAGAGGAUUUGUCAUAAUGAAAGUUCCCAAACGAAAAGAAGAUUCCUUGGAGAUUCUGAAGUUUUUGCAGGAGCAUCUUCAAGAAAACAUCCCUUUCAUGAUGUUAUAGUUGAUACUCCAUUGCCUGACAAUUGGAGAAGUUUAACUAUUGACAAGUAUGACGGAAGCACGGACCCUGAUGAACAUGUUGCGGUAUAUACCACGCAGAUCAGUCUAUAUACAUGGAACGAUGCUAUUAUGUGCAGAGUGUUCCCUACAACGUUAAAAGGGACAGCGUUAAGUUGGUUCACACGCCUUCCGCCUUUGAGCAUAGAUUAUUUUGACACAUUGGUGGAAAAGUUUGGAGCUCAGUUCGCAACUAGUCGUCCCCAUCAUUUAACCUCGAUUGCUUUGGUGAAUAUAAGGCAAGAAAAGGGAGAGUCGUUAAGAAUGUUCAUGGAACGUUUUAGGAAGGUUGCCCUGGGAAUUCAAAACCUCAGCCCAGAGGUUACCAUGCAUCAUAUGAUAACAGCACUAAAGCCAGGGCCGUUUGCUGAUAGUCUCUGCAAGAAACCCGCGACUAGUUUAGAUGAGCUAAGACAACGAGCGUCAAAGUUCAUGCAAAUGGAAGAACUGAGAGAGUUCCGGAAUCAGGCAAGGAUGGAUGAAGGUGAAAAAAAGGUGAUAGAAAAAGAAAGUGGACCUAUGGCUAGAAGAGCCAGGGAAGAAUUCAGAAGCCGAAAGUUCCAGCAAUACACACCCUUAAAUACAAACAGAACAAGAGUCUUACAAGAAGCCAUGGCGGCAGAGAUAAUACCACCAACUAGAAAAGCGCGAACACCGGAAAGGGCCGACCACACCAAACAUUGUGAAUAUCAUAAAAAUCAUGGCCACCAUACAGAGGAGUGUGUCGGGUUGAAAGAUAGAAUAGAAGAAUUGAUUCAGGCUGGGCAGUUGAAGCGUUUUGUUCAAGGAGGAAAUGUUAGGCUGAGGUCAAGUCCGGAGAGAAGAUUGAAAGGAAUCGAAACAGGGGGAAGAAGGGCAGAAAGAUUUGAAAGAGAAAAAAGAAUAGAAAAAAGAGAUGAUAGAAGAGGUGGAAGAUCAGAAGGAAGAAAUGANNNNNNNNNNNNNNNNNNNNNNNNNNNNNNNNNNNNNNNNNNNNNNNNNNNNNNNNNNNNNNNNNNNNNNNNNNNNNNNNNNNNNNNNNNNNNNNNNNNNNNNNNNNNNNNNNNNNNNNNNNNNNNNNNNNNNNNNNNNNNNNNNNNNNNNNNNNNNNNNNNNNNNNNNNNNNNNNNNNNNNNNNNNNNNNNNNNNNNNNNNNNNNNNNNNNNNNNNNNNNNNNNNNNNNNNNNNNNNNNNNNNNNNNNNNNNNNNNNNNNNNNNNNNNNNNNNNNNNNNNNNNNNNNNNNNNNNNNNNNNNNNNNNNNNNNNNNNNNNNNNNNNNNNNNNNNNNNNNNNNNNNNNNNNNNNNNNNNNNNNNNNNNNNNNNNNNNNNNNNNNNNNNNNNNNNNNNNNNNNNNNNNNNNNNNNNNNNNNNNNNNNNNNNNNNNNNNNNNNNNNNNNNNNNNNNNNNNNNNNNNNNNNNNNNNNNNNNNNNNNNNNNNNNNNNNNNNNNNNNNNNNNNNNNNNNNNNNNNNNNNNNNNNNNNNNNNNNNNNNNNNNNNNNNNNNNNNNNNNNNNNNNNNNNNNNNNNNNNNNNNNNNNNNNNNNNNNNNNNNNNNNNNNNNNNNNNNNNNNNNNNNNNNNNNNNNNNNNNNNNNNNNNNNNNNNNNNNNNNNNNNNNNNNNNNNNNNNNNNNNNNNNNNNNNNNNNNNNNNNNNNNNNNNNNNNNNNNNNNNNNNNNNNNNNNNUGAUGAAAGGUUGGAACCGAAAGAAGAGACUACAGCCGUGGUAUUAGGCCGGGACGAGAAGCAAUGCACUUAUAUAAGUGGAAGUUUGCCCGAAGAAUUGUUAAACAAACUUGUCACAUUGUUACGCGACAACAAAGACUUGUUCGCUUGGACACCGUCUGAUAUACCUGGAAUUGAUCCAAAGGUAAUUUGUCAUAAGUUGUCGGUAUGCCGAGAAGCAAGACCGAUAUCUCAGAAACGAAGAAAGUUGGGUGAAGAGAGAAGGAAGGCAGCAAUGGAAGAAACUGAGAAGUUAAUGCAAGCCGGUUUCAUUAAGGAAGCUCAAUAUACGACAUGGUUGUCCAAUGUGGUGCUUGUCAAAAAACCNNNNNNNNNNNNNNNNNNNNNNNNNNNNNNNNNNNNNNNNNNNNNNNNNNNNNNNNNNNNNNNNNNNNNNNNNNNNNNNNNNNNNNNNNNNNNNNNNNNNCCUUUGCCCAACAUUGACCGAUUGGUAGAUGGGGCGUCUGGACAAGAAAUGAUGAGUUUUCUUGAUGCUUAUUCAGGGUAUAACCAAAUACAGAUGUAUGAGCCAGAUGUGCCCAAAACAACUUUUACCACAGAUACGGCAAAUUAUUGUUACAAAGUCAUGCCUUUCGGCUUAAAGAAUGCCGGAGCAACGUAUCAGAGACUGAUGGAUAAGGUGUUCAAAGAUCAAAUUGGAAGAAACAUGGAAGUAUAUGUGGAUGAUAUGGUUGUGAAGUCAGAGAAAGUGGAGAAACAUUUGGGAGAUCUUGAGGAGGUGUUUUCACGCAUAAGAGAGUACAAUAUACGUCUCAACCCAGAAAAAUGUGUAUUCGGCGUCAAAGGGGGAAAAUUUCUAGGUUUUAUGUUAACCAACAGAGGGAUUGAGGCUAAUCCUGAUAAAUGUGAAGCAAUUAUGAAGAUGGGGAACCCGAAAAACCUGAAAGAAGUGCAGAGGUUAGUGGGAAAACUAAAUUCAUUGUCAAGGUUUUUACCGAUCUUAGCCGAAAAAACUAAACCGAUAAUAAGCUUGUUAAAAAAAUCAGAAACCUUUGAGUGGAAUGAAAAAUGUGAGCAAGCCUUCUCUCAAAUCAAAAGCAUGGUAGCUGAACCACCAAUCCUAAUCAAACCUGAGUUGACCCAACCCAUCAUAGUUUACUUAGCAACUUCCAAUGAAGCAAUAGGAGCAGCGUUAAUCCAAGAGAAUCCAGACCAGAAACCAAUAUACUUUGUAAGUAGAUCCCUUCAAAAUGCUGAAACCAGAUAUCCCAAAGUAGAAAAAGUUGCCUUGACCUUGGUGUACGCCGCAAGACGUCUUCGGCCAUACUUUCAGAAUCAUCAGAUAAUUGUGAGGACAGAUUAUCCAAUAUAAAAAAUCUUGAGAAAACCAGAACUUGCAGGUAGGAUGGUGACAUGGUCAAUGGAGCUUUCCGAAUAUGGAAUCAAAUAUCAACCGAGAGGACCAAUCAAAGCUCAAGCCCUUGCAGAUUUCAUCAUCCAGAUGCCGACAACAGCACAGCAGGAGCAGUGGAUAUUGUACGUAGAUGGCGCGUCAAGCAAAAAAGGAAGCGGAGCAGGGAUAGUACUUGAAGGACCAGACAACUUCCAAAUAGAGAUGGCACUGAGAUUCGAGUUCAGAACAUCCAACAACCAGGCCGAAUACGAAGCUCUUAUUGCAAGACUACUACUGGCGAGAGACAUGGGAGUUGAAAACGUCAUUUGCAAAAGUGAUUCUCAGCUCUCAGUGGGACAGGUACGAGGAGANNNNNNNNNNNNNNNNNNNNNNNNNNNNNNNNNNNNNNNNNNNNNNNNNNNNNNNNNNNNNNNNNNNNNNNNNNNNNNNNNNNNNNNNNNNNNNNNNNNNCCAUUAUUGAUGCAAUAUUAUCAUAAGGUAUUAAAUGUCAUGCAAUGUUUCAAACAAGCUGAAAUAAAAUAUAUUCCGAGAGAACUAAACAUGAAAGCAGAUUCAUUAUCUAAAUUGGCAAGUCAACAGCGGCAACUCCAACACAAUUCGGUUAUACAACAAACCCUCAGUCACCCGACAGUCGGUUUCGAGGAAUGUUGCAACGUCACCACUACAACAGAUGAAUGGAUAGAAACAUAUUUGGAAGCCAUAAAGAAUCAAGAGCAAGGUGUUCAAUUGGAUACAAAAAUGACCAAAAAAAUAGCUAGUUUUGUGUUAAUUGGAGAUGAACUCUACAAACGCGGAUAUUCGAUACCUUUGUUGAAAUGUCUCUCAAAAGAGCAAGCUCAAUAUGUAGUGAAAGAACUUCACGAAGGAAUAUGUGGCUUACAUUGUGGAGCUCGAACAAUGGCAACAAAAGUUUGCAGAGCCGGAUAUUAUUGGCCAACACUCCGAGAAGAUUGUGAAAUUUAUGUUAAAACAUGCAAGAAGUGUCAAGAAUUUGGAAGUUUGAACCAUAUACCAGCACAGGCGUUACAAGGAAUUACUUCUCCAUGGCCCUUUGCAAAAUGGGGAAUUGAUAUACUCGGUCCAUUCCCACUUGGCCGGGGACAAACUAAAUUCAUGAUAGUCGCUGUAGAUUACUUUACAAAAUGGAUAGAAGCAGAAGCACUGACUAAGAUAACAGCUCAGCAAGUUCAAACAUUUAUAUGGAAAAAUAUAAUAUGUCGAUUCGAAAUCCCACACACCAUAAUAACUGACAAUGGCCGACAAUUCAUUGACAAAAAACUUAUGGAAUUUUAUGCAGAUUUGGGAAUCAAGUCAACAAGCACUUCAGUUGAACAUCCGCAGACGAAUGGACAAGCGGAGGCUGCAAACAAAGUUAUUUUGGGACAAUUGAAGAAGAGGUUAGGAAAUGCCAAAGGUUUGUGGGCAGAGAAGUUACCAGAGAUCUUAUGGGCAUAUAGAUGCACACCACAAACUUCAACUGGUGAAACACCAUUCAACCUCACAUAUGGGACGGAUGCAAUGUUACCUGUAGAAGUGAAUGAACCAACGUUACGAAGGCAGAUAGAAGACUGGAAUAUUAACAAUGAAUGCUUGAGAACCGACCUUGAUCUCAUUGAAGAACUUAGAGAACGAGCAAAGAUAAAAGAGGCAGCAGUAAAAAGAAGAGCAAUGAAAAGGUUCAAUGCGAAAGUAAAAUUCAGAGAUUUUAAGGAGGGGGACUUAGUAUGGAGAAUGCGAACUGAUGCACGAAAAGAUCCGCGACAUGGAAAAUUGGCCUCUAAUUGGGAAGGUCCAUUCAGAAUACUCGAAAAUUUGCAAAAUGGAGCAUACAGAUUGGAAACUUUAGAAGAAAAAAUAGUACCGAGNNNNNNNNNNNNNNNNNNNNNNNNNNNNNNNNNNNNNNNNNNNNNNNNNNNNNNNNNNNNNNNNNNNNNNNNNNNNNNNNNNNNNNNNNNNNNNNNNNNNGAGAUGUACAAAGAAGGAUGUAUAUAUAUCUAUCCAUCAAUGAAGAAGCAUUAUCCAUUAACAAUGUGUCGUUCAUUCAUAAAACUUUCGGUCUUGGAUGAUUUCACUCUAAGUGAAAACCCACCCGAAAAGAAAUGUAUUCAUAAAACUUUCGGUCUUGGAUGAUUUCACUCUAAGUGAAAACCCACCCGAAAAGAAAUGUAUUCAUAAAACUUUCGGUCUUGGAUGAUUUCACUCUAAGUGAAAACCCACCCGAAAAGAAAUGUAUUCAUAAAACUUUCGGUCUUGGAUGAUUUCACUCUAAGUGAAAACCCACCAGAAAAAACAUCUAUUCAUAAAAUUUUCGGCUUUGGAUGAUUUCACUCUAAGUGAAAACCCACCCGAAAAAACAUCUGUUCAUAAAACUUUCGGCUUUGGCUGAUUUCACUCUAAGAGAAAAUCCACCCAAAAAUUCGUAUAUUCAUAAAAACUAGUGAUCUCGAACGCUUCCAUUUCCAAUAAAAAAUUCACUCGCAUACCAUACUUGUGUUAAUAAUAAAUUGGAUAAACCACUAAUAAAUUAUGAAUCAAUAACCCAUUAUGAUAUUUUACAAACUUGAUUUCAUGCGUUCAUAAAAUUACAAAUCAAUCCGCUAUUUCGAAACCACCUUCGGAUAAAAACCGACAGAUACUCGGUGUGUGAACAAAACAUCAUCGCAUUAAAAAUAAAUCGGUAGGUGGCAAUUAUGUAGAAUACGACCAAUAACGUAAAAAAAUAUAUAACAGUUGACAAUCUAACAAACUUUAUAUGUAUUAAGGUUUUCGAAACGACAUUACAUUUAACAAAACGAAUCCCCCCACAUUGAUUAGCAUAUCAAAAACAUCCAUACAUGGAUUUGUAGUUCAAAAUAAAUCUACUUUCGACAAGCAAACCUACGCCCUCCUAGCUCUCAAUAUUGACAUCUUCAGCAUCUGUGUCUGGGAUCUCGUUAGCCGGCACCAAUUCACCCUUGUAAAAAUCUUUUUUAACAUCAAAGUUGCCUUCAUCAAGUGGAAUCUUAUAAAAAUAUUUUGCUUGUUGAAGCGCUUUCUCAAAACCAAGUUGAUGUUGUUCAAAUAUAAAGCUUUCGGCUUCAAAAACGUUGGUCCUCAGCUGAUUUAUCUCUUCAUCCAUGAGUUUGAUGGCAUUCUUGUCGGCUUCGUUCGUAGACAAUAACGCUAACACCUUAUCAUUCAACAGUUGAUUCUCUUUACGGAGUUGAGCGUUUUCUUCACUUGACCUCAAGCUUUCAUUCUUCAAUUCAACAAUUUCUUUUUAAACUCUUCCUUUGCAACUUCUUGUUCACCUUUUUGUUUCUUCAUCUCUUCUAGUUGCUCGAACAAAGAGCUCUUUUUCUCCUUAUACUCAGCAAGGUCAGUCCUCAAUUUCUCAAAUUCAGAUAAAGACACACAAUUUCCAUUUUUCUCCUUCAUCAUUUUUCCAAUCAACAAACUUCUACUCGACAAUUCAAUAAUCGAAUCAGCCAAUGAAGCAGCAUCCAUAUUUUUCAACAUAUUAUAAGACGAUUCGUUAAAAGAAGUUUGGACAAACAUCGCAUACAUAGUUGAUGCACAAAAAAUGGUUUCAGAAAGCGGUUCCGACGACACAUUCUCAACGCGACGAUGACGCCGAGAAGAAGAGUGUGAUCUCUUGCUGCUUCUAUCUCGCUUCUUUGAUUUUUUCGAAGGCCCAGCAACAUCAACAUGAUGCGCAACUUCAACCACUUCAACAGGUGCAACACGCUCCGCUUCUUCCGUUUCAACAACAGGAUUCACCACAUUUUCGCGCCGAGGAGUUACAUCACCUACCUUGUUUAGCAGCUUCGAAAAAUAAGACCGAGCUUUCGGAUAAGUGCUUGCCAUCAAAGCUGAAAAUCAAUAAAAAACUUAGCAAAGUUAAAAAACACAUCCUAUAAAACAAGUAAAUGAAGAACAACCACCUACCAAUGAGAUCCUCUCGUGGAUGGGACGAAGUAUACAAUUGUAGCAAGGCGCGAGUGGGAACUUGGUACGAGAGGUGACUGAAAACUUCAAUAACAUGACGAUCGGCCGCCCCCAUUGAGUGAAAAGAUAUUGAAUUAAACUUCACGGGAUCUCUUGUCCAGUAAAGAGGAAAUUUUGGAGACUCUCCAUUGAAAAAAUACUCUUUCCCUAUCGGCUCUAUUAGAAUUUUGAAAAAACCUCCCUUAAAAUCCUUAUAUGAUGAUGUAAAAGGUUUAAGGAAGCAAACGUUGGAUUUACUAAUAAGAGAAAGCCAUCCUGGUCGUUUACCAGGCCGAGAACUAUAAUAAUACAGGAACGAAGCUGGACUAGGAGAAAGCGACAGUAAUUUACACAAAAUACUAAAAGCUUGCAUGGCAGCCCAACCAUUAGGAUGAAGCUGAGUAGGGGCAACAUUAAGAAAAUUAAGAACGCCUAUUUGAAAGUUUUUCAAAGGCAAUCGAAUAUGAAGGUCUCUAAAAAAGCAAGCAUAAAAAUAGAAAAACCGAGAGGUAUAGGCCGAGAACUACAUGUCCAAUAAUCAAAGUAAUAAAUUAAAACCGAAAGGUCUGGACCGAAACCUAAAAGGAUAAUAAAAAUCAUAAUAAAGCCCAAUUUAAAUAAGGAACUUGCACAAGGGGGUGUAAAAGUAAUAAAAAAGGUGUGAGAAGAAAGUCCAAAAGUACUGUAGAAGGCCCAUCAACGAAACCCUAUAAAUAGGAGGUCAGCACAAGAAAAAGGUAAGAGUGAUUUUAUCUGAAAAACCAUUACAUUGUUUCUGACUUUGGCAUCGGAGCGACUUGCAGGUACAUCCCCCCACCUGUGAGGAAUACCAACCGAAAGGAGUAGCCGAGAGGUGCAGCCGAGAGGAGCAGCCGAGAUGAAUAGCCGAGAGAAGUAGCCAAGAGGAGCAACCGCGAGUCCAGCCCAGUUGAGGAUCCAGCCCAAUAGGAAACCGAAAGUAUAGCCCGAAAUCAGAAGAUUUGUGAAAAAGGCCAUCUUGUUUCAGUUCGAGUGUUCUUGGUCCCUUUAUGUAAGAACAGCUAGUUAUCAAAUUCUACCUUUGUUUAUUCAAAUGUUGACAUACAACAUAAAUACCCCUUUUUUGUAUUAUAAACAUCUUUGGCUUUAAAUGAUGGGAAUUUAGUUGUGAGUCAACAAGUAAAAGCCAAACCUUCUUUAGGACAUUAUGAUAAAAAAAAUUUAAAUCACAUUGUUCCUGUAAAAGCUUGUGAUAUUUUCUUAGAACGACCUUGGAAUUUUCACAGUACUUUUGUUUACCACAUUUAUUUUAAUGAAAUUACUUUCACUUAUAGAGGAAAUAGGUUUGUUUUUAGUUUUUCAAUACCUUCACAAGUAAUGGAAACCAACUACAAACACAGUUGAAUUUUGAAAAUCUUUGUCGAUAGUUGAACCAAGCAUUAAAAUAAACUUUUUCUCCUUAGAACAAUCUUGCGAGGAGUUACUUGAUGUAUACCUUUUAUCUGGAGCUGAACCAGAUUUGGUUCCAACACCUUGUGAAGACUUGCUAGUAAUACACCAGGGCGAUCAACCGUUAAGGGACCUUCACAAGGUACAAAUACUAAAAACACCAAAUAAAUCUGAUACCCAUUUUACCCCGACACAUAAAAUAUUUUGCAUGCUUGUAUCAUCUGAUCGAGGUAAUUCUUCUUCAUGUUCUAUUUCUUCUUAUUCUACUUUAUUCUCCCCAUUUUGUGUGGUAUUUCUCUAUACAUGUUCCACACAACCUAAUUUGUUUGUUGUAUGUUUACAUAACAAUCAAUAUUUAGUCUUUUUUCAUUCUACUUAUGUUUAUUGUCUUUUUCAGGUGGAUCCACGAACCGGGUGGGUCUUGACUUCACUCAUUAAAAAUAAAGGUGACACUUUCACUGAAUCUGAGGACAUAUCCUUUUGAAGGAGGCAUCCUGAUGGAGAACCAUCCAAGACACCAUACACAAGAAUAAAAGAACAGACGACCUGUUUGUAUAUAUUUUAGAAUAAACCUGUAUAAGAAUUAUAUUUUGGUUUCUUUUCAAGAGUACUUUGUAGAUGAAAUAGAGACACUCUAGAAACCCUAACUUGUCACACAAGUAAGGAUUCCUAAAGAAUCUCAAAGGAGCAUACACUGCCUCCUUGAGCCACCACACCUCACCUUAGCUGAGUUCACUUAACUAGGAUUAUGGUAGCUUAAGAAGCAAGCUACCUUCAUCUAUAAAUACCCUAAAUCUCACUCAUGUAUGGAGAUUUGCAAAUAUUGAAAGAAAAGUUCAGGACUUCAUUCGCUCCCAAAUCUCUCUUGCUAGUGGGCCUAAUUGACUUAGUGAACCUAUGAAAAGUUGGCCAAACCUCUUUCCCUUGAUUGCACCUUCAACUCCACUGAAUUCUCUCAUCUUCUCUCAAUGUGGGUGCCUCUUCAUCACUCCAUUUUCGCUGCCACUUCAAUCAUUCCAUUAACCACAAACUUGGACUACAUCAACUAGCUUUUUGUUACACGUUAUAGGGUCGUGUGACUCUUUGCGAUAUAAAUGAUCUUUCAUCAUAAGAUUCAAAUAUGAGUAGUUUUCAGUAAUGAACUAGAUCCAUCAGGCGAAAUGAAUCCUUCAAACUUAAAUCACAAAGGCUUGCUCCCUUGAAACAAUUGAGUUUUAAUACCAUUGCUGAGAAACAAAACACAUACAUAUAAGCAAAAAAUUCCCCUCCAUUUGUGAUGGAUUCCUUGAAGUUAUCUUCGAGUUUCUUGAGACUGUUUGCCUAGACAAAAGACUUUGCUCCAGCUACUAUGAAAAGUACCAAAACUUAGGCUUGGGUUCGACUAUAUAGGUUUCCUUUGGAGUAUUAGAGAUCAAGGGCGAUUUUUUCCAUCAUCAAAGGUCUUGGUACUCCUUUGUAUUUGGAUGAGAAUACUAUGAGAAAGAAGAGGGGUAUGUUUUCUAGAGUGUUGGUGGAUAUUGAUAUGUUUCCCCUCUUUCCGAUCAACUCUUGGUUGAACGUUCGGACUACACUUUUGUAGUUGGAGUGGAAUAUGAAUGGCUAAUUCCUUUUUGCUCUCAUUGUAAGAUGAUAGGGCAUGAGCUUGCUCAGUGUCGGGUCAUACAUGAUCAGGCUCGUGUUCCUGGGCCUCAACAAAAAUCUUUUCAGAAGAUAGUUUCCGAUGAACGGGAUAAGGAGAGGACUGUGGUUCCUAAACAACGUCAAAAAUAUCGGAAGAAAGGUCUGUAGCCAAAGCUCGUGGAUGGCCCCACAGAUAAUUCAAACUUUGUUUUUUCUAACGAGGCUAAUGCAGGGUCACCCUUGGGUCACCUUGCUUCUAAUAAACCAGGAGGACUGGAGGAUGAUUUUGCUGAUAUGUCUCCUCUUGAGGAUGCCUCGGAUCAAGAAUCCAUGAAAGGGUUAUGCACUCAUACUUCGGAUUUUCCAGAACAAGGAAUGCUACCUGCUGUUAUGCAAGGCAAGGGCUCAGAGUCUCGUGCUCCUAUUGAGGAUCUUCAUGUGGAGGUCUCACCUCUUAUGGGGGAUCCAUCUCUUCAUAGGGAUACUUCACCUGUAGUUUCUACAACACCAUUCACUACUCCUAUGGAUGGUCAUCACACGUGUGCAAUUGUGAUUGUACCAUCCUCGUCGUUGGUCCUGCAAAAUCAUUUUUCCUCUCUCGAGGGUUUGGAAACUACAGAUGUGGGAGGUGAUCCUUAUAUUGGGGAGACAGAUUCGGGAUUGUAUUGGUAUUGCUUUAGAGGCUAUUAACAUGCUCUCUAAAAUGGUUUGAGGAGGUAAUGUGGCAUACAAAGUUGAUAUUCAUAAAGCCUUUGAUACUCUAAGUUGAAAAUUUUUAUUAUUAGUUUUGACACGCUUUGGUUUUCACCCAUCGUUUGUCGGUUGGAUUAGUACUAUUCUCCGGUCCGCUAUGCUUUCUAUCAGAAUAAAUGGCAAUCUGGUGGGUUUUUUUCCUUGUAGUAGAGGAGUUAGACAAGGUGAUCCUUUGUCUCUUCUACUUUUCUGUCUUGUAGAGGAAGUUCUUAGUAAAGGUCUUUCUAAGCUUGUGAAUGAUAAGAAGAUUCUACAUAUGGUUGGUUCGCAAGGUUUUCUCACUCCCUCCCAUGUUUUGUAUGCUGAUCACAUUUUUGUUUUCUGUAGGGCGAAUAAUAAGUCUCUUAGAAAUUUGAGUACUUUUCUUAAAACAUAUGGUGAUUUCUCGGGUCAAUAUGUUAACAAUUCUAAUAGUAGUUUUUUCACCAUCGAUAAUUCUGCAAGAUUUGUCACCAAAAUUCAACGUAUUCUUUCUUAUAGCCAUGGUUGUUUGCCUUUCAAUUAUUUAGGAGUGUUUAUCUUUGUUGGUGCUCCAAAAAGUCGUUUUCUGCAACCUUUGGCGAAUAAAGUCAAAUUAAAGCUAGCAUCUUGGAAAAGUAAAUCUCUUAGCAUGAUGGGUCAGAUUCAGUUGGUCAAUACGGUGAUUACGGGAAUUCUAGCAUAUAGCUUUAAUUUGUAUAAAUGGCCUCUUCUUAAGCAAGUUGAGCAGUGGUGUCAAAAUUUUUUAUGGACUGGAGAUAUUCUGUAGAAAGGCAUAGCUACUGUUAAUUAGGCUACGAUUUGUUCUCCCCUUGAGAAUGGAGGUUUGAAGAUUAUUAACCUUCACCAUGAAAAUAAUGCAUAUCUUCUUAAGCUUGCUAGGAACUUUGCUUAUAGCAACAGGUCUUGGUCUUUGCUCUUGAAAGUCAAGGUUCUUAAAUCAAAAUACGAGUUUAAAAUGGUUUAUAGAUCCUCAUCUCUUUGGCCUAGAAUUAAGCAGUUUUAUUUUACUAUACUUGAUUAUACUUCUUGGACUGUUGGUACAGGUUCUUUUAUUAAUUUCUGGAAUAAUAAAUGGUGUUCUACUACUCCUUUAGCACAUAUUGUAGGUUUAUCUGAUGGUAUUAGCAUUCUGGAUACAGUUUCUCAGUUUUGGACAGGUCGUGAUUGGAAUAUUUUGUUGUCUUUACAGCAGAUGCCUCAUCUUUUUAGUCAUAUCAUAGUUAGGGCGGAUCAGGAUGUUCCUAAUUGGAUUCUAGAUGGGUCUGGUCGGUUCACUCUUCAAUCGGCUAGGAUUUUUUUCUUAGAACCAGGAGUUCCCUGUGGUUGUGGUAAAUUUAUUUGGUCUUCAGAUAUCCCACCUUCCAAAACUCUUGUCCUUUGGAAAGUUUUUCAUGGGCGGCUUCCUACAGAUCAACAUAUUCAAAAUAAAGGUCUCCAUAUUUGUUCUAUGUGUACGCUUUGUGAAAAGCAUGAGGAAUCUCUUCAUCAUUUAUUUUUUGAAUGCCCUAAUGCUUUGUAUAUUUGGAGUUGGGUUCAACAGAUUUUUCUUACUUCUCAUUUCUCUAAUAAGGAUGAUAUUCUUUCAUUUAUUAAGAGUGAUGGUAGUCCUUUGGUUAAAUUGAUUAAACUUGUUGUGAUAACUUUUUCUAUUUGAAUGUUAUGGCGUAUGAGGAAUUAUGCUCGUUUUCAGGAUAAGAUUGAGGUUUCUAGGGCUAUUUCAAUUAUUAAAGAUUUAACUUGUCUAGUGGGAAAGUUGUCUAAAGCUUCAAUGAAGAAUGAUAUGAUGGAUUUCAGUUUGAUUAAGUUUUUUGGUAUUAAUACUCGUACUGGUAAAGUUCGUCGUCCUCUUCCUGUUAGAUGGGAUUUUUCUUCACCAGGAUGGGUUAAAAUUAACACUGAUGGGGCUGCUAGGGGUUCUUCAGGUCUUGCCACUUGUGGGGGUAUUUUCCGUGGGAGUAUGGGGGAGUUUAUUGGAACUUUCUCUGUGUUUCUUGCGUUUAGACUGCUUUGGUUGCUGGAUUUUAUGGAGUUAUAUAUGCUUUGGAGGAAGCUCAAAAGUUGGGACUAACUAAUGUCUGGCUGGAAUGUGACUCUACCUUGGUUUGUGUUGCGUUUACUGCUAGGACAAAUGUUCCUUGGAUGUUUCGUAAUCGAUGAAAUAUUUGUCUUAAUUACUGUGGAAAAAUCAGGUUUAGGGUUACUCAUAUUUUUCGUGAAGGGAAUGUGUGUGCUGAUAAGUUGACUAAUUUAGGAUUUAUUCAUAAAGAAUUCUUUCAUUGGUAUAAUAGGCUUCCAUCUAGUCUGUUCUUAGAAUUCUUUAUUAAUAGGUAUAGUCUACCUAUGUAUCGCUUUUGUUAACAUAUGAAUUUUGGUCUAGUCCUCCCAUAUUUUUGUAUUUUUUUUUAAUAAUACAUUUUUCAUGUGAUGGCAAAUGAUUGUUGUUACUUAAGGUGUCAUGUGUCAACCUAACUGAGAUGUCAAGUAACAUAGUAAUGUCUAAUAUGAAAGUUUUUUAUAAAAAAAAAUUCCCCUCCAUAAAUGUAACUUAAAAUAGGUUUGUGAGAAAUAAUAAUAAAAGAAAAGGAUAACACACAAACCUUUUCACGUGAAAAACUUACUCAAUAAUGGGAUCAAGUUUUUUUUUUUCUUUAUAACAUCCCUUUUUUCACUACCCAUUCCUAAAUAAUUGUUUUCAAUAGAUUGAGAGAAUUUCACUAUUUAUUCGAUUGGAGUAUUCUCUUUUUGCUCGAUUUAUAGUCUCUAACUCCAAUUCAAUAAACAUUAGAUGUGCUUUUAUUUGUGAGAUGAUACGUCAACUAAAUAUAAUAUCAAAUCAUAAUAUAUAAUUAUAUAUAAAUUUUUUCUUACAAAUCAAUUUUAUAAAAUUAAAUUAAACUUAAAUAUAUUUCUUAAAAUAUAUAAAAAUCAUUUAAAAUAUUUUCUAAUAAAAGUUGGUUGAACUUAUUAAAAGAUAAAAAAAAAUUACAGUGAAUUUGAUUUUUUUAAUUCUAACUUCCCGUGACAAUGGGAUGGUUUUUCUAAAACCCGGGCAGAAGCAUCAAAGGGGAAAAUAGAAAAAUUGUAAUUAUUAUUUUUUUUCUAUCAGUAAAUAAUUGUACCUAUUAUUUUACAGCAAUAAUUCCAUAUUAAUUGUACCUAUUUUUUGAUCAGCAAUAAUCCCAUAUUAUAAUUAUUAUUGUACCCGUUUAUUUUGCUAUUGAGGUAUUAUCAAUAUAUAAAAAAAAAUAAUGUGUAUAUAAAUUGUUAUUAAUCUUGACUCCUAAGCAAUAUGGGAUUAUUGAGUGUACAGGAACAAGUUUCUAGUCGAGUUCUAAUGGGAACAAAUUAUCUUUAGUUGAAGGCUAAUAGAACGGAGGUUUAUCUUUGAAACCUUGUUUUGUUUUCACAUACAGUGUCAAUGUUCCGAUUUCAAAUUCGUUGAGAUAGCAUGUUUUGGAACUUAGAAUUUCGUCACGGUUGUCUUUAAAAAGUGUCUUGGUGAGUUAAGAGAGGAAGAUGUAUAUAAAUUGAAAUUAAGUUUAAAGAUAAAAAUAAUUAAUUAUUAUAUUAACUAAAUUAUAUAUAUUAUUAUAAAGAUUACAAAAAUUAUUGAUAUUUCAAGUAAUUUUUAUUAUUAAUAAAAUUUAUAAAUUAGUAUACUAUAAAUUUUUAAUUAUAAUUCAUUUAUAGAAUAGAUGACAUGUUCCAUGAUACUUGAGAAGCUAUAUGUUUUCCCAUUUUGUCAAGAAUUUAACUCUUAUCAUUUGUAUGAACAAAAAUAUUGCCUCUUGUAUUUUAAUAAUCUUAAGAAAUGAAGCUGAAUAAUAAAUUUUUAUCUCUAAUAUAAUUAAAUAAAAAAUACAAUAUCUUGUAGAGUCACAACUUAACCUUUAUUUGAUGUGGUGUUGAAUCUGAUUACAAUCCAUAUUUGGAGUGAUUGUGAAAACACAUGGGAUAACACAUGCAAUAGCAAUAAAUGGUAAGUGUGAAGUUGGCAAUAAUAUUUAUGGUAAAGAAAGAGAAGGGAAAAUGGAAAAGAAGACAAAAGAACCAGAAACAGGAAGAAAGGUAGCUUGUUGCAUCUUUAUGCAUCGUGCAUAGUGCUUCAAGAUAAGGCCAUGACCCAGUUGCCCUUUCGUUCUCCCAUUUGAUCCCUCAUCAUCCAUUCCUCUUCACAACACAACACAUUGAAACGACACAAACAUCAUAAACCUCUGAGAUGGCGGAACUGAGGAACAGGCAAGUGGUUCUGAACAACUAUGUUGUUGGUUUUCCCAAAGAAUCAGACAUGAGCAUUGUUGAAGGAACCAUAACAUUGAAGCUUCCAGAAGGUUCCUCUGAUCUUCUCCUCAAAAAUCUCUACCUCUCAUGCGAUCCCUACAUGCGAUUCCUCAUGACCAAGGAGGACAACCCUUUGGGAAUUGGCGCCUACAAGCUUUACUCU
This 26805-nucleotide long non-coding RNA is filed under the name Phaseolus vulgaris (common bean). RNAcentral describes it as "long non-coding RNA (PVUL_LNC000539)". Lineage: Eukaryota; Viridiplantae; Streptophyta; Magnoliopsida; Fabales; Fabaceae. The record is from RNAcentral.